RNAcentral lists this ribosomal RNA (301 nucleotides) under uncultured bacterium. RNAcentral describes it as "partial 16S ribosomal RNA". It matches the Rfam family "Bacterial small subunit ribosomal RNA", at positions 509 to 807 of the family's 1533-position model. The record is from RNAcentral.
CAGCCGCCGCGGGAAUACAGAGGGUGCGAGCGUUAAUCGGAUUUACUGGGCGUAAAGCGUUCGUAGGCGGCUUCUUAAGUCGGAUGUGAAAUCCCUGAGCUUAACUUAGGAAUUGCAUUCGAUACUGGGAAGCUAGAGUAUGGGAGAGGAUGGUAGAAUUCCAGGUGUAGCGGUGAAAUGCGUAGAGAUCUGGAGGAAUACCGAUGGCGAAGGCAGCCAUCUGGCCUAAUACUGACGCUGAGGUACGAAAGCAUGGGGAGCAAACAGGAUUAGAUACCCCAGUAGUCCCUGUCUCUUAUAC